UACAAAAACACAACAAAAAAACACAAUGAUUACCAAACACACCCUUAGUUAAUAUGCUUGUCAUUUUACCGGGAGGAUGGUAUAUUGAAACUUCAACGUUGUUGCAUGACUGUUAACAUCAAAAAGGUUCAGUAUCACAUCGAUCAUACGUUGGUCCGAGUGGACACCCUAUAUCUAGGAGCAGGGCAUGAGAAUUUUGCUAACUAGAAACUAGAAAGCAUGAACAAUGUCCUUCUGAAGUCCUGGAAUGAGAGCUUUCAAAGAAGUCCUCUAUCAUGAAAUUAUUCCACUUUAAGUACACCCAACUAUAUAAUCUAUAGGAUUUAUUAUAUCAGAGUUUUCUUUAUCACAUAUCUCUCAUGUGGAAUUAUUCGCUGUCUUGUGAUGUUAGAUAUCCUCCAUUUUAGGUUGUAAGGUCUCAUGUUGGAUACUCCUCCGUGUAGCAUUUCACCUUGUGAUGUGAGAUUCUAGAGGUGGUUCACACCCCAAAGAUGCAAGCUGUGAUGCUCACCAUAUUCCUUCCUGAGUUCUGUAUACUCGUACUGGUGUUAGGUUCCGAUACCAUCUGUAAGUACCCUGAGGGAGAAUUUCUCGGGAGGUCACUCAUCCUAAAAUUGCUCUCUUGGACAUGUAUAACUAUAAAAUUUUCCUCCGACUCCCUGCUGGAAUUGACUUGUGGUGUUGGGAACUUUGAUCAUUUAUCAAAUUACUGCCACAUUUUCAGUCUACAAAGAUAUUCUAAUAUUGAAUCGAUUGAUAGGCAUAAUUGUUAGAAAAACAGCAUUCUGUGUUGAGCCUCUCAUCACGUGAAGUGAGUUUGCUAAGUUUAUAUUUAUGUCUCUGGUUAGCAGUAGGCUUCUCAUGGUCUUCAGGAAUCGGUUGCUUGCAAAGUUUGGAGGCGGACUUCAUGAGAAUCACCCUUUUCAUUAACUGCAACAUCUCUAAAGUGGUUUUAUUGCGUUGCAAUCCCUUGCUUAAGCUAAGUUGCAGGUACCAGUAGAAGAGAUGACUCUGUACAAUUUUCCUGACUCUUAUGUUAUCAGAUAAGCAUCACCAAAGUCGUGGUUGCUUUCCUGAUUUUAGCUCCCUCCUUCAAGAUUUGUUUUUCCUACCUUGUGCUCCACCAUACAACACAAUGCAACUAACUUCCGUGAUCAUUUCUGCAGAUAGCUUCUGCAUGAAACAAGCAAGGACUUUGUUCUGUUUUGUUCUAGAAGUUUUUGAUAGAAUGCGUCCUGCAAUUAUCGAUGCCAUUUUCUUCAUAUUCUACAAGUAAUGGGUUUCUUACUCGGAAAUGGGAACAAAUCAAACUUUUCAUAGGACUGACCUCUAAAUACAACCAUACGAGCCCCGAUCUUCUAAAAAAAAGGUGAUUUGGUCACUAAUUUGAUCCAGCUCAUCUGUUAGGCUAUGAUAGUGUUGGUCGUGCAGAUAUAUCCUCUAGCAAAAUUAGUUCGGUCUCCCCCUUGUUCUAGGGACACGUCACUUACUCAUUACUGUCUAGAUCAACUUUGAUACCAACAGAACAUCAGCAUAUUAUCCUCCGUCCAUCAUAUCUGUCUAGCCGUAGUUUGUCUCAUGCAUUCUUGUAUUUCAUUUAGUUCUGUUCUAUUUAUCAGUAUCUUUUUAUAUAUCCUAUUAAGACGUAGUCUUAGACAUUUAGUCAAAUGUAUGUACGUCUUCUUAGUAAUUAUUCAAAUAUAUUCAUUUUCUUCUAAGACCUUCCUCGAGGAAAAAAGAUUACUUUUACUGUAUUUCUUUUGUGAUUAUAGUAUUCGAGUUUCUACUAUUGGGAGAUUCACUUUCACAUCAAUAUCUAGAUGAUCGGUACUUGUAAUCUAAAAUCCUUCCUCAAGAGAGAAACAAGUAAUAUACUAAUCUGAAAAGUGGAGGUUGGUUUAAACUUCAUUAUUGAAUAAGACUUCCUGAAGUGGUUCUCUUUUGAUGAUGGUGUUAUAUAGAUUAAAUUUCUGGAAGCUCUGGGUAUUCUGGAUCCUAGUUCUUUGUUCUUUUUAAAAAAAAAAUAAAAGCGGGGAAAGUCAUAACUUUCAACUCUGUCGCUUACAAUGUUUUCUCCAGGCUUGUAGUUCAACCUCAAAAACUUCACAAAAGAACACUCCAUUCAGGACUGAGUAGAUUAAGUUUCUACCAGAAGAUAGAAAGUAUCAUAUAUAUAAUGCUGAGCUGAAAUGUGAAAUGAUACUUUUUGAAUUUUAAAUAGUUUGGUUUCAGUUACCAGAAAAAUAGGGUGAAAACGAAGCAAUAAUGCUAGACACAUAGGUAACGCUAAUCUAUUGAGCCAAUCAAGUUUUAGAUUGUCCAGGAACUUUAUGUCAUCAUGUUUUGUAUUUGGCCGUGUUUUAAAUUUUUUCAGGUGUUGAUUCUUGCGCUAGGAUUUCGUCCCAUAAUACUCUCCACAAAUAUGUGCUUGCUUUCAAGGGUUCAACAAUUAUAGCUAAGAUGCACCGAGAGAGUUCAGACAGCACCACUCCAAUAGGAGCCAUACCUUCAGAGGAGUGCAAGUACAAGUUUUUUUUAGAUGCUGAAAGGUGUUUUGUUGCUCUCAAAAGUUUUUCCUGAAUAAAAAGGCGAUGAAGAUUUGAGGGUCAUUCUCAGCCAACAAAUUGAUGGGAAGGAGAGCUGUUGCCGACCAGCAGUGUGGUUCAAAUGUCAGUUUAUGGUGCGCUCUCUGUGGCCCGAUGAGAUCGUUGAAAUCAAUUCCCUUGAUGCUUAUCUUCAACAUACUGUAUCAUGUGACAUGAAUCAUUACGAGAAAGCAAUUGUGUUGUGUUGUCCCUCAUUAAAACUCUGAACCGGCCAGCUAAACAAAUUUGUACAGGCACUAGAAAACCAAUUA
Molecule: long non-coding RNA, 2857 nt
Organism: Asparagus officinalis (garden asparagus)
Lineage: Eukaryota; Viridiplantae; Streptophyta; Magnoliopsida; Asparagales; Asparagaceae
Exons: 3
Source: RefSeq, a predicted model, not a curated record